This is a non-coding RNA of Schistosoma rodhaini, 46 nucleotides long. The record is from Rfam. NCBI's taxonomy places the organism in Eukaryota, Metazoa, Platyhelminthes, Trematoda, Strigeidida, Schistosomatidae.
GCACUGCUGAAGAGUCUCAUAAUAGGACGGAACGGCCUUUCAGUGC